Molecule: long non-coding RNA, 821 nt
Organism: Scylla paramamosain (green mud crab)
Lineage: Eukaryota; Metazoa; Arthropoda; Malacostraca; Decapoda; Portunidae
Exons: 3
Source: RefSeq, a predicted model, not a curated record
GACGAGGAGUGCCUUUGUUGUCAUCACUGCCUCCAUCAAAGCUACGUGACUCAUUUCCCAUGCCUAUUCUCUCUCUCUCUCUCUCUCUCUCUCUCUCUCUCUCUCUCUCUCUCUCUCUCUCUCUCUCUCUCUCUCUCUCUCUCUCUCUCUCUCCCCUCCCCCCUUUCUCUCGCUUUCUCUAUCUCUCUCUCCCGCUGCUUCCUUGGUUUAGUGUUGCCUGUGUUGUGCCCGAAAGCAGUGUUGUAGAUUUUAUUGCGCUGUGCCCGUAAUCAUUGAGUGACCGCCCUGUGCGUGUGUUGCCGCGUCAGGAAGGGAGUGUUGCGUCUCCAGGCACCUCCCGCCUCACGCCUUGCUUCCUCCCGUCUCCCAGAGUCUACACACCUGCACUCUUGAGGAGUUAGCAGCCAACGGCGUUAGGUUGCCAGGUGGACGAGUCGGGCCAAGUGGUGUCAACGUGAGGGCAGUGUAGCUGAUCGUGUGGAAAGUGCGGUGCCAACUCCACUGGUUCUAAUUACAAGUCUGACUGUAGUGCCAGACUGGAGCAACAAAUAUGCCCAUUGGAUCGAGAAUGUGUAGUGCACUGAUGUGGGUAAUGUGAACUGGAAAUAUAAAUAAGGAUUGAGACAAAAUGGUAUAUUAUGUUCCUUGUUACGUGGCACGUCUUCCUAUAAUCUCCGGCUACUCCUAGUUACGAGUAGAUGCCUGCCUUUCAGUGUGGUCAACGCCACGACACACCAGGUUUCCUUUAACAUUCUCUCUCUCUCUCUCUCUCUCUCUCUCUCUCUCUCUCUCUCUCUCUCUCUCUCUCUCUCUCUCUCUCU